This 473-nucleotide ribosomal RNA is filed under the name uncultured bacterium. RNAcentral's name for it is "partial 16S ribosomal RNA". It matches the Rfam family "Bacterial small subunit ribosomal RNA", at positions 28 to 507 of the family's 1533-position model. The record is from RNAcentral.
GAUGAACGCUAGCGGCAGGCCUAAUACAUGCAAGUCGAACGGGUGGUCGCAAGACCACUAGUGGCGCACGGGUGCGUAACGCGUAACCAACCUGCCCCGAUCUGGGGGAUAGCCCGCCGAAAGGCGGAUUAAUACCGCAUAUACCCGCAGCCUGGCAUCAGGCAACGGGGAAAGAUUUAUUGGAUCGGGAUGGGGUUGCGUGACAUUAGCUAGUUGGCGGGGUAAGGGCCCACCUAGGCGACGAUGUCUAGGGGACCUGAGAGGGUGAUCCCCCACACUGGCACUGAGAUACGGGCCAGACUCCUACGGGCGGCAGCAGUAGGGAAUAUUAGGCAAUGGGCGAGAGCCUGACCCAGCCAUGCCGCGUGCCGGAUGAAGGCCUUCUGGGUUGUAAACGGCUUUUCUCAGGGAAGAAAAAGACCUUGCGAGGUACACUGACGGUACCUGAGGAAUAAGCACCGGCUAACUCCGUG